RNAcentral lists this non-coding RNA (21 nucleotides) under Arabidopsis thaliana (thale cress). Lineage: Eukaryota; Viridiplantae; Streptophyta; Magnoliopsida; Brassicales; Brassicaceae. The record is from RNAcentral.
AGAUGUAAGUGUACGCUGUGU